CCUACGGGAGGCUGCAGUGAGGAAUAUUGGUCAAUGGGCGCGAGCCUGAACCAGCCAAGUAGCGUGAAGGAUGACUGCCCUACGGGUUGUAAACUUCUUUUAUAAAGGCAUAAAGUGAGGUACGCGUGCCUUUUUGUAUGUACUUUAUGAAUAAGGAUCGGCUAACUCCGUGCCAGCAGCCGCGGUAAUACGGAGGAUCCGAGCGUUAUCCGGAUUUAUUGGGUUUAAAGGGAGCGUAGGUGGUCGGUUAAGUCAGUUGUGAAAGUUUGCGGCUCAACCGCAAAAUUGCAAUUGAUACUGGCAGUCUUGAGUACAGUUGAGGUAGGCGGAAUUCGUGGUGUAGCGGUGAAAUGCUUAGAUAUCACGAAGAACUCCGAUUGCGAAGGCAGCUUACUAAACUGCCACUGACGUUGAUGCUCGAAAGUGUGGGUAGCAAACAGGAUUAGAUACCCGAGUAGUC
Molecule: ribosomal RNA, 460 nt
Filed under: uncultured bacterium
Lineage: Bacteria
Description: partial 16S ribosomal RNA
Rfam family: Bacterial small subunit ribosomal RNA
Source: RNAcentral